GUGAAUCAUCGAAUUUUUGAACGCAAAUUGCACUCUCCUCGGAGAGUAUGCCUGUUUGAGGGUCAGCCUAAAAAAAAUCGACAUAGUCGCUGUUUCGCCGUGACAUUCGUCGGAAAUUGGGUCAUCUUAAACCCUUGGGUUUUUUAAGGGGCUUAAAUUUUCUUUUUCGAUUCCAUGAAUGUUUAUAAGAUUUUAUUUUUUACAGAUUUUUAAGGUAUCGA
RNAcentral lists this unclassified non-coding RNA (221 nucleotides) under Glomus sp. RNAcentral describes it as "partial contains 5.8S ribosomal RNA and internal transcribed spacer 2". The stretch from base 1 to 65 matches the Rfam family "5.8S ribosomal RNA", at positions 84 to 154 of the family's 154-position model. Lineage: Eukaryota; Fungi; Glomeromycota; Glomeromycetes; Glomerales; Glomeraceae. The record is from RNAcentral.